AGGACGAACGCUGGCGGCGUGCUUAACACAUGCAAGUCGAGCGGAAAGGCCACUUCGGUGGUACUCGAGCGGCGAACGGGUGAGUAACACGUGAGUAAUCUGCCCUUGGCUUUGGGAUAGCCACCGGAAACGGUGAUUAAUACCGGAUACGACCGCUCCUCGCAUGAGGUGGUGGUGGAAAGUUUUUCGGCCAGGGAUGUGCUCGCGGCCUAUCAGCUUGAUGGUGAGGUAAUGGCUCACCAUGGCUUCGACGGGUAGCCGGCCUGAGAGGGUGACCGGUCACACUGGGACUGAGACACGGCCCAGACUCCUACGGGAGGCAGCAGUGGGGAAUAUUGGACAAUGGGCGGAAGCCUGAUCCAGCAACGCCGCGUGAGGGAUGACGGCCUUCGGGUUGUAAACCGUCUUUCGGUGGGACGAAGCGAAAGUGACGGUACCACUAAAGAAGCACCGGCCAACUACGUGCCAGCAGCCGC
This 476-nucleotide ribosomal RNA is filed under the name uncultured soil bacterium. Its description in RNAcentral is "bacterial SSU rRNA". It matches the Rfam family "Bacterial small subunit ribosomal RNA", at positions 26 to 518 of the family's 1533-position model. The record is from RNAcentral.